UCUAGAGUAUNGGAGAGGAAAGUGGAAUUCCUAGUGUAGCGGUGAAAUGCGUAGAUAUUAGGAAGAACACCAGUGGCGAAGGCGACUUUCUGGACGAAAACUGACGNUGAGGCGCGAAAGCCAGGGGAGCGAACGGGAUUAGAUACCCCGGUAGUCCUGGCCGUGAACGAUGGGUACUAGGUGUAGGAGGUAUCGACCCCUUCUGCGCCGGAGUUAACGCAAUAAGUACCCCGCCUGGGGAGUACGACCGCAAGGUUGAAACUCAAAGGAAUUGACGGGGGCCCGCACAAGCGGUGGAGUAUGUGGUUUAAUUCGACGCAACGCGAAGAAUCUUACCAGGUCUUGACAUUGAUGGACAGAACUAGAGAUAGUUCCUCUUCUUCGGAAGCCAGAAAACAGGUGGUGCACGGUUGUCGUCAGCUCGUGUCGUGAGAUGUUGGGUUAAGUCCCGCAACGAGCGCAACCCCUAUCUUAUGUUGCCAGCACGCAAAGGUGGGAACUCAUGAGAGACUGCCGCAGACAAUGCGGAGGAAGGCGGGGAUGACGUCAAAUCAUCAUGCCCCUUAUGACCUGGGCUACACACGUACUACAAUGGGAGUUAAUAGACGGAAGCGAGAUCGCGAGAUGGAGCAAACCCGAGAAACACUCUCUCAGUUCGGAUCGUAGGCUGCAACUCGCCUACG
RNAcentral lists this ribosomal RNA (683 nucleotides) under uncultured bacterium. Its description in RNAcentral is "bacterial SSU rRNA". It matches the Rfam family "Bacterial small subunit ribosomal RNA", at positions 640 to 1320 of the family's 1533-position model. The record is from RNAcentral.